UACGGAGGAUCCAAGCGUUAUCCGGAUUUAUUGGGUUUAAAGGGAGCGUAGGUGGAUUGUUAAGUCAGUUGUGAAAGUUUGCGGCUCAACCGUAAAAUUGCAGUUGAAACUGGGAGUCUUGAGUACAGUAGAGGUGGGCGGAAUUCGUGGUGUAGCGGUGAAAUGCUUAGAUAUCACGAAGAACUCCGAUUGCGAAGGCAGCUCACUAGACUGUUACUGACACUGAUGCUCGAAAGUGUGGGUAUCAAACAGG
RNAcentral lists this ribosomal RNA (253 nucleotides) under Bacteroides ovatus. RNAcentral's name for it is "partial 16S ribosomal RNA". It matches the Rfam family "Bacterial small subunit ribosomal RNA", at positions 524 to 776 of the family's 1533-position model. Lineage: Bacteria; Pseudomonadati; Bacteroidota; Bacteroidia; Bacteroidales; Bacteroidaceae. The record is from RNAcentral.